UGAACGCUGGCGGCAUGCCUUACACAUGCAAGUCGACGGUAACAGGUCUUCGGAUGCUGACGAGUGGCGAACGGGUGAGUAAUACAUCGGAACGUGCCCGAGAGUGGGGGAUAACGAAGCGAAAGCUUUGCUAAUACCGCAUACGAUCUCAGGAUGAAAGCAGGGGACCGCAAGGCCUUGCGCUCACGGAGCGGCCGAUGGCAGAUUAGGUAGUUGGUGGGAUAAAAGCUUACCAAGCCGACGAUCUGUAGCUGGUCUGAGAGGACGACCAGCCACACUGGGACUGAGACACGGCCCAGACUCCUACGGGAGGCAGCAGUGGGGAAUUUUGGACAAUGGGCGCAAGCCUGAUCCAGCCAUGCCGCGUGCAGGAUGAAGGCCUUCGGGUUGUAAACUGCUUUUGUACGGAACGAAAAGACUCUGGUUAAUACCUGGGGUCCAUGACGGUACCGUAAGAAUAAGCACCGGCUAACUACGUGCCAGCAGCCGCGGUAAUACGUAGGGUGCGAGCGUUAAUCGGAAUUACUGGGCGUAAAGCGUGCGCAGGCGGUUAUGUAAGACAGAUGUGAAAUCCCCGGGCUCAACCUGGGAACUGCAUUUGUGACUGCGUAGCUAGAGUACGGCAGAGGGGGAUGGAAUUCCGCGUGUAGCAGUGAAAUGCGUAGAUAUGCGGAGGAACACCGAUGGCGAAGGCAAUCCCCUGGGCCUGUACUGACGCUCAUGCACGAAAGCGUGGGGAGCAAACAGG
This 748-nucleotide ribosomal RNA is filed under the name uncultured beta proteobacterium. RNAcentral's name for it is "bacterial SSU rRNA". It matches the Rfam family "Bacterial small subunit ribosomal RNA", at positions 30 to 776 of the family's 1533-position model. The record is from RNAcentral. Lineage: Bacteria; Pseudomonadati; Pseudomonadota; Betaproteobacteria.